UCUGGCCCCGCGCGACCGGCCAGGCCUCCAAGGUCUCCCAAACAAACGCGCCAACCAAUCGACGGGCCCGGCCUGCCCACACCUCCGAAGCGGCGUAGAGACGACUGCGCAGGCGCCUAUGGCAGGCAAGAGGAGGCGCGUUCCCUGUCGGAGGGGCGAAAGAGAGCUUUGAUUGGUCGUCCCGAGUCGCUUCCGCUGGUUGGCUUCAAAAAGGAGAGCGGGGGAAAUUGAAAGAGAAGAGGAGGGACCGGUCGUAGGAACAGAGGACCGCGAAUAAAAAUGUUUCACCUACCAGAACAUGUGAAAGGGAGUGGCAACUCUGUUGUGAUCCAGGAUCUGCUCUGCUUGUGAUUCUAAAUGCUCCGACUGGAUCCGAGUAAUUUUCAACAAUCCAUCACUGUCCUCUUUAACAUUCAGUUUGUGGAUCCUUUGAAAGGGCCUCAGGGACUCCCAGAGCACACUCGAGAUCUGCUAUAAGACGUUCAAGACAACAUUUCUAGACAUUUUACAAAAUAUAAAGAUUGCUGGCAUUGCUAGAACUAUCCAUGGUAAGAAUGAUGUUUCUCUUUUGACUGAAGAAACACCGCUGACAUGGAGGUUGCCGCGUUAAUGUUGGAAGAAAGUCCUGGUCUGCCACAGAUUAGAGCAUGUGACUGAAACAAUGCUACUGACGGUGUAGUGAAGAAGAUGGCAAAGCAAUGGAUCUCCCCAUCCCACUCUGCAAAUUACCUUCCUUCCAUUAACCAGUAAUGCUAAUGAUCACCUUACGGUUAUUUUGCAACAGGCUCCCUUUCCAAACAAUUAAUCCCUAGUCGUAAAUUGAAGACACAGUAAAGAAACAUGUCAGUUAAAAGGUUUGGGAUGGGUAGGGUAAGAUAUUUUUUAUUUGAAAGGAGAACCAUAGCAUUCCAGAUAUAGUUUUGUUAGCAAUUAGGGUAAAGUAUAGCUUAUUAAAAAAAAUGGGGAGGAGGGUUUGGAAGAAGCUGUUAGUUUCCUUUGUUGAAUUCCCUCCUCCCGUUCUACACUAAGUUUCAAACCAUGUUGGUGUGGUGACAUCAUCUCAUGCAUUAUUGCCUGACCCUGCCAGUGGAAGACAGCCAAGAAUGUUGAACGGAGAGUAAAUGGGGAGUGUAGAAUACAACCAGCUGGUUCAGUAAUGCUCUCCAGGGCUUGCUUCAUAAGUUCUGCCUCCAUCAUCCACACCUUGCUGGCUGUGGCCUCCUAUCUCUACACAAAACCAAAGCACCCAGGGAACCUAUUCAAUCCAAAUAAGUUAUUUACUCCUAAGUACGAAGUGCAUGCCACCUCUUCCUCUAGGCAUCCUGGGGAGCCUGACUGAAAUGAAACUUUCAAAAAUGUCGAUUGCACAACCUCCUUUAGUUAGAACCACAAUAUGUAAACACUCUGGCAAAGCAGAAUGCCAGAUACACCAAUGAUCUAAACUAAUCCCCACAGUUCAAACCCCAAAUCCUUUGUUCAAAGGAGGAUAUGCAGCUCUUGGUUUCAGCUUUACAAUCUGUCUGCCCAAGUUUUCUUCUAAUUCCUCAAGAUGCUAGAUAGUUCCAUGACUCCUCUGCGGCCAACUCCAUUCCAAGCAAUGGGACAAUAACAGCAAUUGCUAAACUGGAACACACAUACAUUUCUUCUAAAUAUUAUCUUCUAAAUAUUCUACAGCUUAGUAACCUUCAGCUUUCCAGGACAUAUUUGUUUUCACCUCAGAUUUUUUCUUGGAUGGAGACUCUAUCCUUAUAGAGCUAAGCCAAGCAGUCCAUAUGUGACACAGUAACUUUAUCCCUUUAGUACCUAAUUUGUAAUGUUGAGUGGCAAAGUCUGGAGUAGAACACUAUGGCAGUAGCCAUAGGUUGGGGAGAACUUCCAAGUCAUACUAACACCCUAACUGUUUAUCUAAACUUUAUUUUGAAAAAAAGUUGGAUAGAGCGGGGACCUGAAGGUAUCAAGAGAGAUAUCUGUAGAUACAGGGAUGCACAUUCCAAAAGCUUCAGUUGAAGGGAAAUGAUGAAUGAUAACUCUAUAAUUUUUGCCCAGUGUUUGACAUAGGUCCUUGGAGACGUCACACUUGCUUAAUACACUUGUAAAUGUGUUUGUAGGGUAUGGGGUAGAUGGGAAUGUCUUAUACCUGAUAGUAAAACUCUGAAUCAACUGUAAAUUCUUUUGAAGUAACAACAACCCACCCACCCCCAUGUUGAAAUCUGGUAUGGACAACGGGAAAUAGUUUUCUUCACUGCUUAAUGAAAAGAGGGAUGUCUUUGUUGAAUCAUUCUUUACUAUUGAGUUAAAGUGCUCUCCAUCCAUCACUGAACCUUUAAAAAAUCAAAAUGGCAUGACGUUUGACGUCCCAUUUGUCUGUCCCAAUCCUGCCUCUACUGCUUCAUUUUCAGUUGUUGCAUUCACUAAAUAAAAGUCAAAUGGGUUUUA
This is a long non-coding RNA of Pantherophis guttatus, 2436 nucleotides long. RefSeq lists it as uncharacterized. NCBI's taxonomy places the organism in Eukaryota, Metazoa, Chordata, Lepidosauria, Squamata, Colubridae. The record is from RefSeq and is a predicted model, not a curated record.